Molecule: ribosomal RNA, 470 nt
Filed under: uncultured bacterium
Lineage: Bacteria
Description: bacterial SSU rRNA
Rfam family: Bacterial small subunit ribosomal RNA
Source: RNAcentral
UAGAGUUUGAUCCUGGCUCAGAACGAACGCUGGCGGCAUGCCUAACACAUGCAAGUCGAACGAAGGCUUCGGCCUUAGUGGCGCACGGGUGAGUAACACGUGGGAACCUGCCUUAUGGUUCGGAAUAACGUCUGGAAACGGACGCUAACACCGGAUGUGCCCUUCGGGGGAAAGUUUACGCCAUGAGAGGGGCCCGCGUCGGAUUAGGUAGUUGGUGUGGUAACGGCGCACCAAGCCGACGAUCCGUAGCUGGUCUGAGAGGAUGAUCAGCCACACUGGGACUGAGACACGGCCCAGACUCCUACGGGAGGCAGCAGUGGGGAAUAUUGGACAAUGGGCGCAAGCCUGAUCCAGCAAUGCCGCGUGAGUGAUGAAGGCCUUAGGGUUGUAAAGCUCUUUCGCACGCGACGAUGAUGACGGUAGCGUGAGAAGAAGCCCCGGCUAACUUCGUGCCAGCAGCCGCGGUAAUA